CAUUCAUACUCAAAUGGUACACGCCAUUUGACUCCAAACCAUUUGAAAGAUGAACUGAUCUCAUUUUCUCAGCAUCAUAUACUCCAGAUUCCUCUGCAGCCAAGGCCAUAGCUUCUCGUGUUUUCUUCAAAGAUUUCUGAAGCUCCAGUUCCUGAAGUUCACAUUUCUGCUUCAGGCUCUCAACCUGUAUUAUUAGACAUCAAGAUAAGAUCAUACUCAGUCAUCAAUCCAAGUCCACCAAAUAGUGCACAAAUUUUAUGAGCCAAAUGGAACAGAACCAGUUCGAGGAGAAAUUUCUUUUCAAGAAGUCAUGUGACUAUUCUCCUAUUUUGAUCCAUACCAAUUUGAAAGGGGUAAAGGUGAGGGGGUUACCUGUGAACGCAAUUUAAGCACUUCGUGAUUCAAAAGAUCAUUUGUUUUCUUCAAACCAUCAGUUAUGCUUUUGGAAAAGGAAAGUCCUGAUGCUGUGGGAACAGGAGUGGCAGAUCGAGGUGGGCUUGAUUUCCUUGAAAAAGGUGAAACGGAUCUAGAACUUACUCCAGAAGAAGUGACAACUGGUUUGGGAGCUGUCCGUCGCAGAUCAACAGCAGUUGAUAAU
Molecule: non-coding RNA, 598 nt
Organism: Cucurbita pepo subsp. pepo (vegetable marrow)
Lineage: Eukaryota; Viridiplantae; Streptophyta; Magnoliopsida; Cucurbitales; Cucurbitaceae
Source: RefSeq, a predicted model, not a curated record